Molecule: ribosomal RNA, 469 nt
Filed under: uncultured bacterium
Lineage: Bacteria
Description: bacterial SSU rRNA
Rfam family: Bacterial small subunit ribosomal RNA
Source: RNAcentral
GGUGAACGCUGGCGGCGUGCUUGACACAUGCAAGUCGAACGGUAUGUGGCAACACAUAGAGUGGCGAACGGGUGAGUAACACGUGGGAACGUAUCUUUUGCAGGGGGAUAACUGACCGAAAGGACAGCUAAUACCGCAUAAGUCCGGGAGGAGAAAGGUGCAACAGCAUAGGCAGAAGAGCGGCCCGCGGUCCAUCAGCUAGUUGGUGAGGUAAGGGCUUACCAAGGCGACGACGGAUAGCCGGCGUGAGAGCGUGGCCGGCCACAAGGACACUGAGAUACGGGUCCUACUCCUACGGGAGGCAGCAGUGCGGAAUUUUAGAUAAUGGAGGGAACUCUGAUCUAGCGACGCCGCGUGCAGGAAGAAGGUCUUCGGAUUGUAAACUGCUGUGGUAAGGGAAAAUGCUAUGUAGAGUGGAAAGCUACAUAGAGGGAUGGUACCUUACUAGAAAGCCCCGGCUAACUACGUG